AUGGGCCAAAAACGGGAUAAUGGGCCAACGGGCCCAAAUUGGUAAGAAAACGCGGAAAUCCCCAACCAUAGUGGGCUUGGAGCUGUGAGGAAAUUCGGAGUGGCCAUCCGUUCUGAAAGUUUGAUUUUCUUCUGGUGAACUGGACAUCCUUUUAUUUACGUUUGAGGUUUUGGGUUUUUAAAUGUAAUAAGGCCACUUAAUUAUUUUUGAUGGUUUUAAUAUGUAUUACUAAGAUAGGUAUUACUUA
Gossypium arboreum is the source of this 247-nucleotide long non-coding RNA. RefSeq lists it as uncharacterized. The record is from RefSeq and is a predicted model, not a curated record. NCBI's taxonomy places the organism in Eukaryota, Viridiplantae, Streptophyta, Magnoliopsida, Malvales, Malvaceae. The transcript has 2 exons.